CUUUCUUUCUUUCUUUCCUUCUUUCUCUUUUCCUUCCUCCCUUCCUUCCUUCCUUCAGAAUUGAGUCUGACCCAGAGCUGUGACCUAUGCCACAGCUGCGGCAAUGCCGUAUCCUUAACCCGCUGAGCCACAGUGGGAACUCUCUUAGCAAUUUUCAAAUAUACCACACAGCAGCGUUAACUAAAAUCAUCCUGUACAUUGUAUCCCCAGAAUUUAUGCAUCUUAUUACUGGAAGUUUGUGCCUUUUUGACUACCUUCAUCCAAUUCCCCCACCCCCACCCCUGGCCUCUGGUAACCACACAUCAGAUCUCUUUCUCUAUGAGCUUGGUUAUCGCAGUUUUUUUUCUUCCAGAUUCCACAUAUCAAUAUCACAUAGUAUUUGUCUUUCUCUGUCUGACUUAUUUCACUUAGCAUAAUGCCCUCAAAGUCUAUGGGAAGACUUUGCAAAUGGCAAUAUUUCCAUCUUUUUUUAAUGGCUGAAUAUUAUCUAGGUAGUUUUUAAAAAACCUCUGUGAUCCAGGAGUUCCUGUUGUGGCUCAUGGCUUAAUGGUCCAGCUUGUCUCUGGGGAGAUGCUGUUUUGAUCCCCAGCCCCAGGGCAGUGGGUUAAGGAUCCAGUGUUGCUGUAACUGUGGUAUAGUUUACAGCUGCAGCUAGGAUUCGAUCCCUGGCCUAGGAAAUUCCAUAUGUUGUGGGGGUGGCCAAAAAGGAAAAAAGAAAUACAAUGGGAAUAUAGAUUUCUAGCUUAUUGCAUCUAUUGCUAGCUUGUUGCAGAUUUACCCUUCUGCCAAGAACAGUUUUAACAAAAACUGGAUAAAAUCAAAAGAAAAAAAACACCUUUGAUUUGAAGGCGUUGACAGUCAGGGUUUGAGGUUUCAGGAUCCUAGAGAGGUGAGAUAAACAUAAUGCAGUGGUUUGUUUUUUUUUCUCACACGCAAGUUGUUGCUAUAAAUGUGGUCUGCAAAGCAGACCAGAAAGAGGCUGAGAAGCUGAGCAUAGCUUCUGGCAAUCUUCUGGGGCUGGCGAGAAACAGACCCUGGAAUUCAGGGCUCACAAAGAGGAGAGAGUUGGGAUCGACAAAGACCACAGCCUAGGACCAGGAAGAGACCAGAAAGAGACCAACCCUCAUCAAGACCCAAAUCCAGCUCGAGUCAACUGAAGCCCUCAUCAGCUGACGCCCUCUCACGCUCUGCCAGAAGCAAGAGUAAACCCUCUCCGAAAGGAAAUAACACCAUGAAGGGCCACCAAUGUUCUCUAACGGUUUUUCAAAAACAAUAUCUG
RNAcentral lists this long non-coding RNA (1279 nucleotides) under Sus scrofa (pig). RNAcentral describes it as "lncRNA (ENSSSCG00005029721.1)". The record is from RNAcentral. Lineage: Eukaryota; Metazoa; Chordata; Mammalia; Artiodactyla; Suidae.